AUUGAACGCUGGCGGCAGGCCUAACACAUGCAAGUCGAACGAGUGGCGGACGGGAGAGUAAUGUCUGGGAAACCGCCUGAUGGAGGGGGAUCACUACUGGAAACGGUAGCUAAUCCCGCAUAACAUCAGAUGUGCCCAGGUGGGAUUAGCUAGUAGGUGGGGUAACCGCUCACCUAGGCGACGAUCCCUAGCUGGUCUGAGAGGAUGACCGGCGACACUGGAACUGAGACACGGUCCAGAGUACUACGGGAGGCAGCAGUGGGGAAUAUUGCACAAUGGGCGCAAGCCUGAUGCAGCCAUGCCGCGUGUGUGAAGAAGGCCUUCGGGUUGUAAAGCACUUUCAGCGGGGAGGCGUUACCCGCAGAAGAAGCACCGGCUAACUCCGUGCCAGCCGCCGCGGUAAUAC
Molecule: ribosomal RNA, 406 nt
Filed under: uncultured bacterium
Lineage: Bacteria
Description: partial 16S ribosomal RNA
Rfam family: Bacterial small subunit ribosomal RNA
Source: RNAcentral